RNAcentral lists this ribosomal RNA (274 nucleotides) under uncultured bacterium. Its description in RNAcentral is "partial 16S ribosomal RNA". It matches the Rfam family "Bacterial small subunit ribosomal RNA", at positions 523 to 796 of the family's 1533-position model. The record is from RNAcentral.
AUACGGAGGGAGCAAGCGUUAUUCGGAAUCACUGGGCGUAAAGGACGCGUAGGCGGGUUUGUAAGUCAGGUGUGAAAUCCUACAGCUCGACUGUAGAACUGCACUUGAAACUACAGACCUAGAGUAUGGAAGGGGCAGAUGGAAUUAGUGGUGUAGGGGUAAAAUCCGUAGAUAUCACUAGGAAUACCGAAAGCGAAGGCGAUCUGCUGGGACAUUACUGACGCUGAGGCGUGAAAGCGUGGGGAGCAAACAGGAUUAGAAACCCCAGUAGUCC